Oryza glumipatula is the source of this 198-nucleotide non-coding RNA. The record is from Rfam. NCBI's taxonomy places the organism in Eukaryota, Viridiplantae, Streptophyta, Magnoliopsida, Poales, Poaceae.
AAAAAGGCAAACACUAGUUUUCCGUGUCCAAUUUUAACUGUCCGUCUUAUAUGAAUCUUUUUAUAAUUCGUAUUUUUAUUGUUGUUAGAUGAUAAAACAUGAUUAAUAUUUUAUGCGUGAUUUGUCUUUUUUUUUAUAAUUUUUUUAAAUAAGACGGACGGUCAAAUGUUAGGCACGAAAACUAGGGUUUGUCUUUUU